GACGAACGCUGGCGGCGUGCUUAACACAUGCAAGUCGAACGAAGAGCGAUGGAAGCUUGCUUCUAUCAAUCUUAGUGGCGAACGGGUGAGUAACGCGUAAUCAACCUGCCCUUCAGAGGGGGACAACAGUUGGAAACGACUGCUAAUACCGCAUACGAUCUAACCUCGGCAUCGAGGAUGGAUGAAAGGUGGCCUCUAUUUAUAAGCUAUCACUGAAGGAGGGGAUUGCGUCUGAUUAGCUAGUUGGAGGGGUAACGGCCCACCAAGGCGAUGAUCAGUAGCCGGUCGGAGAGGAUGAACGGCCACAUUGGGACUGAGACACGGCCCAGACUCCUACGGGAGGCAGCAGUGGGGAAUCUUCCGCAAUGGACGAAAGUCUGACGGAGCAACGCCGCGUGAGUGAUGACGGCCUUCGGGUUGUAAAGCUCUGUUAAUCGGGACGAAAGGCCUUCUUGCGAAUAGUUAGAAGGAUUGACGGUACCGGAAUAGAAAGCCACGGCUAACUACGUG
Molecule: ribosomal RNA, 510 nt
Filed under: uncultured bacterium
Lineage: Bacteria
Description: partial 16S ribosomal RNA
Rfam family: Bacterial small subunit ribosomal RNA
Source: RNAcentral